AAGAGAGAUGAUAAUUGUAACAAAGGCCUUGAGAGAUAGAGGGGUUGCGAUUUAAAGCAUAAGUAGGGAGGUUAAUUUUUGAUAGGUGCCGGAAUAUAGAACUCCAAUGAAAGGAAGGCAGAAUGUGUAAUGUGCAAAUAGGUUGGUAUAUUUGUGGUAGAAAGGGAAGGAUGUCACUACGUAAGUUUUUUUUUAAUUUUACCAAGAAUGAGAUAAAAGCCAAUAUGCAGGAUGGGAAGGACGUAUAGGUUGGAAGAGACAUAUGUAAGUAGUUGGAUAGUAGGAAAGUGAAUAUAUAUUUGAUGAAAUAUUUUAAAGGCAUCUUUACUAAAUAUUUUUGAGACAUCUUAUUGGAAGACCCGAAACUUUGAAUUCUGUGGUUUCCAAGGACUCUGGUAAGAGUCCUUUCCAUAAUGUAGAGAUUGAGAACUUCUCAAUGCCAUAAAUACUGUUUUCCUUAUUUUCAUCUAUUACAGAUUAAAAGGCAGAAACAUUUUGUAGCUAAUCUGUUAUAAUGCAAAGCCUAUCAAACUUAAAAUUAGCUUAAUCCUGAAAGAUGUAUAUUGCAUAAUCAACCUGUCACUUUUUUCAAACACGAUUUGGGAGGGUAUUGAGGUCCCAUGUAAAUUUUAAAAUAAAAGACAAACAGGAACUAAUCUUUUAGUAAAAAUUAUUUUGUUUUCAUAUAGGAAAACAAUGCCUUCUGUCAUUUACGGAAAACACAUGGGCAAUAUGGUUGGUUGUUCAUUGUGCCCCUCUAUCCUAUAGGAAGAAUGUGAUCUUUUAAUUGUGCUUGGUGCUUUGUUUCUGGAGAUAUAUAUAUAUAUAUUAUAUAUAUGUAUAUAUACCAUAUGUAUAUAUACAUAUGUAUGUGUGUAUGUGUGUAUAUAUAUCUCUCUAGGUUGUAUGUAAUUCAAUAUGUUGGAAUUUAAAGAUGCAUUAUUAUUUGGAUUUGAUGUGAAAUUAGAUUGUGAAUAAUGGAGAUUGCUCUCCAUUUUUUGCUGUUCUAGCAUAGCCAAAAAUAUAAAGAUAUAGAUGUACAUAUACAUAUGUAUUUGAUUAAACACUUUAAAUUUUAAAUGGCCGCAUCAAAUUUUAAAUGGUAGAUGAUAUCAACAAUUGCAGUGCACUCAAAAUGUUAUAAAAUCUUUGUAGCACAAAUCCUGAAGUAUAUGCAAACUAAAUAGCAUAUUUAUAUAAAAUACCUAGAUAACAUGUCUAGGUUGAGAUAUUUAAUCCCUCAUAGAGCUAUAUUUGACUAAUAAAAAACGACAGCUAAAAAUAAUUUCCCUCCCUAUAAGUACAAAUAUGAUUUUUAAAGCAUCAUUGUAACUUGUCAUGAAGCUAUUUAUUAUUAAUUAAGGAUUUAACUCUGUACCCAUCUGCUCUUACAAAAGGGGAAAAAGAUUUAUCUAUGAGAAUAGGGAAGUAUAGCACUGUUUUAUGUUUUUCUCUUUAGUAUUCUGUCACCAUUUAAAGCUUCAAUAUAUGCCUUCCACUCAGGUUCCUGACACAGCCUACAUUCUCUUUUCUGGUUAUAAUCACAAUAUGGUAGAGCUAUAAACAAGGUAAAAAGGUGUUAACAAUUGAACUGCAAUCCUACCUAUUAUCUACUUUACUAUAGCAGUGAAGUAGUCCAGACUUAUUUGAAGGUGGUACUAUUUUUAUCUUACAAAAAUCUACUAUAAUAUUAAUAACUUUCCAUGUAAAUUUUCAUGUGCUGGCAUGCUUACAAGUUAAUAGUGUUAUAGAAUGCUCAGCUCUCAAUAUGAGGGGUUGUUUGUGGUGAAUUGCAUAACAUAUGUCAUCUAUUUGCUGAAAGAAUAUGCUGUUUAGCAAACUACCUGCUGAGCAACAUAAUAAGAUUUUUGUACAAGGUACAAAUUACUAAUUAUUGUAUUUUAUUUUUCUAUGAUUUCCUAAGAGGCAUUAUCAGGGUCUUACAGAUGGAGUAAGCCUGUUUAUUAAAAUAUCUAUUGGCAAAUAAAAGUUACAGCUUUGGUGGUUGAA
Homo sapiens (human) is the source of this 2010-nucleotide long non-coding RNA. NCBI's taxonomy places the organism in Eukaryota, Metazoa, Chordata, Mammalia, Primates, Hominidae. The record is from Ensembl.